Molecule: transfer RNA, 21 nt
Filed under: Nicotiana debneyi (Debney's tobacco)
Lineage: Eukaryota; Viridiplantae; Streptophyta; Magnoliopsida; Solanales; Solanaceae
Also listed under: 38 other names
Description: partial tRNA-His
Source: RNAcentral
GGCGGAUGUAGCCAAGUGGAU